This 1424-nucleotide ribosomal RNA is filed under the name Salmonella enterica subsp. enterica serovar Typhimurium. RNAcentral's name for it is "partial 23S ribosomal RNA". It matches the Rfam family "Bacterial large subunit ribosomal RNA", at positions 1530 to 2925 of the family's 2925-position model. The record is from RNAcentral. Lineage: Bacteria; Pseudomonadati; Pseudomonadota; Gammaproteobacteria; Enterobacterales; Enterobacteriaceae.
UUCCAGGUAAAUCCGGUUCACUUUAACACUGAGGCGUGAUGACGAGGCACUACGGUGCUGAAGCAACAAAUGCCCUGCUUCCAGGAAAAGCCUCUAAGCAUCAGGUAACAUCAAAUCGUACCCCAAACCGACACAGGUGGUCAGGUAGAGAAUACCAAGGCGCUUGAGAGAACUCGGGUGAAGGAACUAGGCAAAAUGGUGCCGUAACUUCGGGAGAAGGCACGCUGACACGUAGGUGAAGUGAUUUACUCACGGAGCUGAAGUCAGUCGAAGAUACCAGCUGGCUGCAACUGUUUAUUAAAAACACAGCACUGUGCAAACACGAAAGUGGACGUAUACGGUGUGACGCCUGCCCGGUGCCGGAAGGUUAAUUGAUGGGGUCAGCGCAAGCGAAGCUCCUGAUCGAAGCCCCGGUAAACGGCGGCCGUAACUAUAACGGUCCUAAGGUAGCGAAAUUCCUUGUCGGGUAAGUUCCGACCUGCACGAAUGGCGUAAUGAUGGCCAGGCUGUCUCCACCCGAGACUCAGUGAAAUUGAACUCGCUGUGAAGAUGCAGUGUACCCGCGGCAAGACGGAAAGACCCCGUGAACCUUUACUAUAGCUUGACACUGAACAUUGAGCCUUGAUGUGUAGGAUAGGUGGGAGGCUUUGAAGUGUGGACGCCAGUCUGCAUGGAGCCGACCUUGAAAUACCACCCUUUAAUGUUUGAUGUUCUAACGUGGACCCGUAAUCCGGGUUGCGGACAGUGUCUGGUGGGUAGUUUGACUGGGGCGGUCUCCUCCUAAAGAGUAACGGAGGAGCACGAAGGUUGGCUAAUCCUGGUCGGACAUCAGGAGGUUAGUGCAAUGGCAUAAGCCAGCUUGACUGCGAGCGUGACGGCGCGAGCAGGUGCGAAAGCAGGUCAUAGUGAUCCGGUGGUUCUGAAUGGAAGGGCCAUCGCUCAACGGAUAAAAGGUACUCCGGGGAUAACAGGCUGAUACCGCCCAAGAGUUCAUAUCGACGGCGGUGUUUGGCACCUCGAUGUCGGCUCAUCACAUCCUGGGGCUGAAGUAGGUCCCAAGGGUAUGGCUGUUCGCCAUUUAAAGUGGUACGCGAGCUGGGUUUAGAACGUCGUGAGACAGUUCGGUCCCUAUCUGCCGUGGGCGCUGGAGAACUGAGGGGGGCUGCUCCUAGUACGAGAGGACCGGAGUGGACGCAUCACUGGUGUUCGGGUUGUCAUGCCAAUGGCACUGCCCGGUAGCUAAAUGCGGAAGAGAUAAGUGCUGAAAGCAUCUAAGCACGAAACUUGCCCCGAGAUGAGUUCUCCCUGAGACUUAGAGUCUCCUGAAGGAACGUUGAAGACGACGACGUUGAUAGGCCGGGUGUGUAAGCGCAGCGAUGCGUUGAGCUAACCGGUACUAAUGAACCGUGAGGCUUAACCUUACA